RNAcentral lists this ribosomal RNA (253 nucleotides) under uncultured bacterium. RNAcentral describes it as "partial 16S ribosomal RNA". It matches the Rfam family "Bacterial small subunit ribosomal RNA", at positions 524 to 776 of the family's 1533-position model. The record is from RNAcentral.
UACGGAGGGUGCAAGCGUUAUCCGGAUUUACUGGGUUUAAAGGGUGCGUAGGCGGACUUACAAGUCAGUGGUGAAAUCUCCCCGCUCAACGGGGAAACUGCCAUUGAAACUAUUUGUCUUGAGUACAUUUGAGGCGGGCGGAAUGUGUCAUGUAGAGGUGAAAUUCUUAGAUAUGACACAGAACACCAAUUGCGAAGGCAGCUCGCUAAACUGUAACUGACGCUGAGGCACGAAAGCGUGGGUAGCAAACAGG